UACGGAGGGUGCAAGCGUUGUUCGGAAUUAUUGGGCGUAAAGCGCGUGUAGGCGGUUGUGCAAGUCCGAUGUGAAAUCCCUCGGCUUAACCGGGGAAGUGCAUUUGAAACUGCACGACUAGAGUACGGGAGAGGAGAGUGGAAUUCCCGGUGUAGAGGUGAAAUUCGUAGAUAUCGGGAGGAACACCAGUGGCGAAGGCGGCUCUCUGGCCUAAUACUGACGCUGAGACGCGAAAGCGUGGGGAGCAAACAGG
Molecule: ribosomal RNA, 253 nt
Filed under: uncultured bacterium
Lineage: Bacteria
Description: partial 16S ribosomal RNA
Rfam family: Bacterial small subunit ribosomal RNA
Source: RNAcentral